GAUCCCAGCCCUGGAAACCAACCCCCCAAAUUGCUCUCCCUCCUCUAAGAAAAAGAUAAUUUAUCUCCCACUUUGACUCUGUGGUCCCACCCCGUCUCUCCUCUCGUCUAGACUUCCAAGUGCUGGCCUUCCUCUCCCCGCAAGAUGCUCCCCCCCCCCACCAGCUCUCAGCCUUCACCUUCUGAUUGUCACUGUCUCCUUCACAACUAAGAUCAGGAUUUGUGAUUAGUUAAGCUGACCGAGAUAGGAAUCGAGGCGAGGCCUAGGAAGGGGGGACUGGGACGCCCCGAGCCUUCAAAUGGCAAACUGUGUCACCUUCCCAUGGCUCCUCAUCACCUCUGCGCCUCACCCUCCACACACCACUUAAUCGCUCUCUCAAGUUCCAAAGCGAAUUAAAACUCAGAGACUAGGGACGGAGUCUUUCCAUCACACCCUUUCUCUUGCUUCCCUGGGGGACGAGGGUGGCCUGGAGGAACAAUAGCUUCCCUUAGCCCCUUCUUCCUGCCUCAGGUUAGAAAAGGCAGUAGGGGAGGUGGCAAGCAGAGUGGAGGUGACAAAGACCCCUGGCCACACAGGCAUUGGAAGGAAGAAGGAGGGGCUUUGUCAGAGUGGGUUGUUAUUUUGGUGGUGGUGGUGGUAGUGUCUCCAGAGAGGGGCAGCACCCCCUUUUCGCUGCCUUUCCAGGGAGAGCAGCAAGAGAAAGAAAGAGAGAGGCAAACGAAAUUCCUGAAUGGAUAGACAGAUGCUACGUCAUCGGAGCUGCAUCCUCCACUCCACAAGAGGCUAGGAGCCGGGGGGAGAAAGGCAGUCCAGCCGCAGGGGCCACCCGAACAGUCUCUCCUCCUCACAGAAGCCUGGAGCUGGGCAUCCAAGAAGGAGCCGCCUCAUUUGUUUCUGGUGUCAUCGUAGGUGGCCACCUAUGGCUUCUGGGCUUCUCACCCAGGGCGGGUGGGUGCUCCACCACCCUACCGCCCUCCUUCCGCUGUGUGGAUGACAGAGCCACAUCCAGCACCACGGACAGCUCCCGGGCGCCCUCAUCUCGUCCUCCGGGCAGCACAAGCCGCUGUGGAAUCUCCACGGAGGGCACACAAUGGUGCCUCCACAUCCUGCCACUCAGGACCUCUCAAGUCCCUGAUAUGAUGGCUCCUCGGCAUCGUCAGGAGAAACUCCAUGAUCUUGCGUAUUCCCGUCUUGGGAAGUCCUUCUCAAUAUCUAACCAAGAUCUACACGGCUGUAGCACCAGCCCUUCGGCCCUUGGCUUGGCCUGGCUGAGUUGAGAG
RNA transcript from Sapajus apella (tufted capuchin), 1280 nucleotides. It is a transcript of the gene named protein CROC-4-like, with no coding region annotated. The transcript has 5 exons. NCBI's taxonomy places the organism in Eukaryota, Metazoa, Chordata, Mammalia, Primates, Cebidae. The record is from RefSeq and is a predicted model, not a curated record.